AGAUGAUGUUGAAUCCAAAGAUUCACGUGCAACCAGAAAAAUUGUUACACAGGUAGUUGAAGAAGAUCUUGGACUGAUAUCUCGAGAAACAAUAAUUGCUCAAUUUGAUAGAUUGGAACUAAUGAUGCACACAAUUACAAGGAGUCUUUUAGAAUUUUUUAGAAGACUAAUGACAGAGCAAAUGUAUUAAACAAAUCAUUUAAAAACAAUUUGGUUUCUAUGUUUGAGGUACAUUUGCAUUUUUUUUUAUAUCUAUUAAAAUGAUUAUAUUUGAA
Bombina bombina (fire-bellied toad) is the source of this 275-nucleotide long non-coding RNA. RefSeq lists it as uncharacterized. The record is from RefSeq and is a predicted model, not a curated record. The transcript has 2 exons. NCBI's taxonomy places the organism in Eukaryota, Metazoa, Chordata, Amphibia, Anura, Bombinatoridae.